AAGUUAAAAUGUCAUCUAUUUGUACUAUUAAAAACUGGGUGAUUGAUAGAAUAACCAAAUAGUGAAAUGUGACAUGUCACGUGUACCUUGUGUUGAUGUACAAUGACGAGUUUUUAACUAUAAAAUUGGAUGGAAUUUUUAGUA
This 144-nucleotide microRNA precursor is filed under the name Gossypium arboreum. RNAcentral's name for it is "MIR7502 microRNA precursor family". It matches the Rfam family "MIR7502 microRNA precursor family". Lineage: Eukaryota; Viridiplantae; Streptophyta; Magnoliopsida; Malvales; Malvaceae. The record is from Rfam by way of RNAcentral.